This 494-nucleotide ribosomal RNA is filed under the name uncultured bacterium. RNAcentral describes it as "partial 16S ribosomal RNA". It matches the Rfam family "Bacterial small subunit ribosomal RNA", at positions 355 to 840 of the family's 1533-position model. The record is from RNAcentral.
UGGGGAAUCUUGGACAAUGGGGGCAACCCUGAUCCAGCAAUGCCGCGUGUGGGAUGAAGGCCUUCGGGUUGUAAACCACUUUUGGCGGGGGCGAAAUAUCGAGUGCUAAUACCAUUCGGUGAUGACGGUACCCGCAGAAUAAGCACCGGCUAACUACGUGCCAGCAGCCGCGGUAAUACGUAGGGUGCAAGCGUUAAUCGGAAUUACUGGGCGUAAAGCGUGCGCAGGCGGUUAGGUAAGACAGGUGUGAAAUUCCCGGGCUCAACCUGGGAACUGCAUUUGUGACUGCCUGACUAGAGUGCGGCAGAGGGGAGUGGAAUUCCGCGUGUAGCAGUGAAAUGCGUAGAUAUGCGGAGGAACACCGAUGGCGAAGGCAACUCCCUGGGCCUGCACUGACGCUCAUGCACGAAAGCGUGGGGAGCAAACAGGAUUAGAUACCCUGGGUAGUCCACGCCCUAAACGAUGUCGACUAGUUGUUGGACGGGUUCACUGUU